UACGAAGGGGGCUAGCGUUGUUCGGAAUCACUGGGCGUAAAGGGCGCGUAGGUGGCGACCCAAGUCGAUGGUGAAAGCUCGCCGCUCAACGGCGAGUCGGCCACCGAUACUGGGUUGCUGGAGCACUGUAGAGGCUCAUGGAAUUCCGGGUGUAGCGGUGGAAUGCGUAGAGAUCCGGAAGAACACCGGUGGCGAAGGCGGUGAGCUGGGCAGUUGCUGACACUGAGGCGCGACAGCGUGGGGAGCAAACAGGG
This 254-nucleotide ribosomal RNA is filed under the name uncultured bacterium. RNAcentral's name for it is "partial 16S ribosomal RNA". It matches the Rfam family "Bacterial small subunit ribosomal RNA", at positions 524 to 777 of the family's 1533-position model. The record is from RNAcentral.